RNAcentral lists this small RNA (94 nucleotides) under Microcebus murinus (gray mouse lemur). RNAcentral's name for it is "Y RNA (ENSMICG00000021336.3)". Lineage: Eukaryota; Metazoa; Chordata; Mammalia; Primates; Cheirogaleidae. The record is from RNAcentral.
AUGUGGUGAUAGUAGUGGACUGUCAGAAUUUAUUAACAUUAGUGCCACUAAAGUUGGUGUAAAACCCCCCACUGCUAAAUUUGACUGGCUUUAA